UACGGAGGGGACUAGCGUUGUUCGGAAUUACUGGGCGUAAAGCGCGCGUAGGCGGAUUUGCAAGUCGGGGGUGAAAGCCCGAGGCUCAACCUCGGAACUGCCCUCGAUACUGCAAAUCUCGAGUCCGAGAGAGGUGAGUGGAAUUCCUAGUGUAGAGGUGAAAUUCGUAGAUAUUCGGAAGAACACCAGUGGCGAAGGCGACUCGCUGGACAAGUAUUGACGCUGAGGUGCGAAAGCGUGGGAGCAAACAGG
RNAcentral lists this ribosomal RNA (252 nucleotides) under uncultured bacterium. RNAcentral's name for it is "partial 16S ribosomal RNA". It matches the Rfam family "Bacterial small subunit ribosomal RNA", at positions 524 to 776 of the family's 1533-position model. The record is from RNAcentral.